UACGGAGUGUGCUAGCGUUACUCGGAAUCACUGGGCAUAAAGCGCGCGUAGGCGGAGUCUCAAGUCGGUUGUGAAAUCCCUCAGCUUAACUGAGGAGCUGCAGCCGAUACUGUGACUCUUGAGGACGAAAGGGGAGAGCGGAACUUCUGGUGAAGCGGUGAAAUGCGUAGAUAUCAGAAGGAACGCCGGUGGCGAAAGCGGCUCUCUGGUUCGUAUCUGACGCUGAGGCGCGAAAGCUUGGGUAGCAAACGGG
Molecule: ribosomal RNA, 253 nt
Filed under: uncultured bacterium
Lineage: Bacteria
Description: partial 16S ribosomal RNA
Rfam family: Bacterial small subunit ribosomal RNA
Source: RNAcentral